UACGUAGGGGGCGAGCGUUGUCCGGAUUUAUUGGGCGUAAAGAGCGUGUAGGCGGCCAGGUAGGUCUGCUGUGAAAACUCGAGGCUCAACCUCGAGACGUCGGCGGAAACCAUCUGGCUAGAGUCCGGAAGAGGAGAGUGGAAUUCCUGGUGUAGCGGUGAAAUGCGCAGAUAUCAGGAAGAACACCAGUGGCGAAGGCGGCUCACUGGCCCGGUACUGACGCUGAGGCGCGAAAGCGUGGGGAGCAAACAGG
This 253-nucleotide ribosomal RNA is filed under the name uncultured bacterium. Its description in RNAcentral is "partial 16S ribosomal RNA". It matches the Rfam family "Bacterial small subunit ribosomal RNA", at positions 524 to 776 of the family's 1533-position model. The record is from RNAcentral.